AAGUCUGACGGAGCAACGCCGCGUGAACGAUGAAGGUCUUCGGAUCGUAAAGUUCUGUUGUUAGGGAAGAACAAGUACCGUGCGAAUAGAGCGGUACCUUGACGGUACCUAACGAGGAAGCCCCGGCUAACUACGUGCCAGCAGCCGCGGUAAUACGUAGGGGGCAAGCGUUGUCCGGAAUUAUUGGGCGUAAAGCGCGCGCAGGCGGUUCCUUAAGUCUGAUGUGAAAGCCCACGGCUCAACCGUGGAGGGUCAUUGGAAACUGGGGAACUUGAGGACAGAAGAGGAGAGUGGAAUUCCACGUGUAGCGGUGAAAUGCGUAGAUAUGUGGAGGAACACCAGUGGCGAAGGCGACUCUCUGGUCUGUUUCUGACGCUGAGGUGCGAAAGCGUGGGUAGCAAACAGGAUUAGAUACCCUGGUAGUCCACGCCGUAAACGAUGAGUGCUAGGUGUUAGGGGGCUUCCACCCCUUAGUGCUGAAGUUAACGCAUUAAGCACUCCGCCUGGG
RNAcentral lists this ribosomal RNA (508 nucleotides) under Halobacillus sp. EBKC119. RNAcentral describes it as "bacterial SSU rRNA". It matches the Rfam family "Bacterial small subunit ribosomal RNA", at positions 379 to 877 of the family's 1533-position model. The record is from RNAcentral. Lineage: Bacteria; Bacillati; Bacillota; Bacilli; Caryophanales; Bacillaceae.